Long non-coding RNA from Olea europaea var. sylvestris, 2003 nucleotides. RefSeq lists it as uncharacterized. The transcript is spliced from 7 exons. NCBI's taxonomy places the organism in Eukaryota, Viridiplantae, Streptophyta, Magnoliopsida, Lamiales, Oleaceae. The record is from RefSeq and is a predicted model, not a curated record.
AAUAGAUUGAGAAGGAGCUUCAGUUCGAGAAGUUUUUGCCUUAAGCUUCUUCGACAAUAACUCCAGUUGAUCCAAAUUCCUCUUAUUUCCCACCAAGAAAUCAUUAAAACAUCAAAAUAAUUCACUUCGACAAUUUUUACAAAAGGAGAAAAUGAUAAUAAACCAUGACAUUCAUUUAACGUUAAAAAUGAUAAAAAGGUAAAUUAGAUAAUGGCAAUUUGCUGUAUUCUUUUACAAUAACUCCUAUUGAGAAGGAGCUUCGGUUCUUAGAGUUUUCGCCUUCAGUUCAUUGAAAAGGAAUAUCAUCAAUCCAAAUUCCUCUAAUUUCCGACCCUCGAACAAACCGAACUUCGACAUUGCUAGUUCCAUGGCAAAUAACGGAAAAGCAAAUUAAAAAAAUGGUAAUUUGCUUCAGAAAUUACAAUUUUUUCUUGUUUCAUUUCUUCAAUUGGUACCUGAAGAGGAGGGAACUGAGCAGCAGGAUUGGCUUGUUUGAGAAGCUUCAAAGAGGAAUGCAGAAGAUCCGACCAUCCACUCAUUUCUGAAUCAUUCGCCAUUCUUCCACCCGUUUUACAAUCGUACGAAAGCAAGGGUAUGUAUGCAUCGAUCGUAGAGAAAGAAAGAAGAGAAUGAUGGUUUAGUGUUAUGGAGCUAAAAACCCCUAAUUUGAAUGUGAUCAGUAUCACCUCGGAAGGCAAUAUCAGAUUUAUUGAUUCGGAAUUGUAUUAAAUUCGAGCAAUGGAAGAUGAUGAGAGGGAUAGAUUGAGGUUUUCUGAAGGAAGAAAUGAUUGAGAUAGUGAUUCUGAGGGUUAUUUGGAACACCUAGUUGAUGAUGAACUUUGCUAUUCCUCUGGGGACUUCCCCAAGUUGCAAUUCAGGAAAGAUGUGUCAGAGGCACGGUGGAUUGAAGAGUUGGGAAUGGCCAAGGUGUUGGAGAGAAAGGGUAAAAUGUGGACCACAACUGGGAUAAUUCGUGAUGGCAAAAUAUACUGCUCUAUCGAAGAGACUUUGUAGAUUACGCAACUUCGCUGUCAUUAUUACCGGCACUAUCGUAUUUAAACAUUUUGUGCAUCUCCUUCUCUCUCUCUCUCUUUGCAAAUGUGUUCAUGAAACUCCCCCAUCUUUGAGAAUUUCCAAUGGUCGAAAUCGCUAUUACCAUAAAGCUCCCAUCUUGGCUAAUUUCGGAGAUUAUGGUUUCUGGCAGAAAUUGGAGCUUUGCAUAUCUUGAAUGGUGAUGAUACAUACCUUACCUUAAAAGACUUCAAUGAAAAAGUCGCAAAAGAUAGAGGUGGAUAUGGAUGUUCUUGGGAGUCUUUUGAAGUUUAUCGCCACUUAAAAUCUCUUGGUUAUAUCGUUGGCCGACAUGGUAUUCCUUGGACUUACAAGAGUACUAAAACUAAUUCCAUUGCUGAAAAUGGUGCGUCUGAACUUGACGGGACAAGUUGUAACAGGUCAAGACGCGGCAUUCUCAUUACUGAAAUGUUCGAUAACUUGCAGUUUAGUGAAGUGAGACCAAUGUUCGAUGUUUACUUGCCUAACAGCAAGUUUAAGAAGUCUUCUCCCGGCAGUCCAUGUUUCCUCCUCUGCCUUUCCAGACAUUGUUUCUAAUGUAGUGACCACCCACCAUCCAAACAAGCGAUCGAGGACCUCGAAACACGUUACAAAGGCCAUCGUAUAAAAUUUUGUAAUGUCGAGCAUGGGCGAGUUAGUUUCUUUUCAUUCACCAAAGUCGAACUUCCCAUCCUUCCAUGACCGUCCUCCCAUAGGCUCAAGAAACAACUGAUUCUUCUAUGAAAAGUUUGUGCAUGUUUGGAGUCCCAUUGUAUGAUACAACAUGAUGAAGGGAGACACUUCUUCCAAUAAUACUUUUUGUUGAACUUAAGAAUUUUCUUUAAGUUAUUUAAAAGGGACCUUUUUUUGACAAAUAUAUUUGGCAAAUUGCUUUUUCUCUCUCAUUGUUAAGCAAACCAUUAUUUUUUUAAAAAGUAAUUAUUACAUUUGUA